UCAAGCGUUUAUGCAAGGGCGUCUGGGGGAUGCCUUGGCGCACACAGGCGAUGAAGGACGUAGCACGCUGCGAUAAGCUGCGGGGAGGGGCGAGCACCCUUUGAUCCGCAGAUUUCCGAAUGGGGAAACCCAAUCCGCAAGGAUUAUCUUUGACUGAAUUCAUAGGUCAAAGAAGCAAACCCGGGGAACUGAAACAUCUAAGUACCCGGAGGAAAGGACAUCAAUUGAGACUCCGUGAGUAGUGGCGAGCGAAAGCGGACUAGGCCAGUGGUCUUCAUCUAAGAACCGGAAUGCUCUGGAAAGGGCAGCCAUAGUGAGUGAUAGCCUCGUACGGGUAGAAAUGAUGAAGAUCCUCGAGUAGGGCGGGACACGUGAAAUCCUGUCUGAACAUGGGGCGACCACGCUCCAAGCCUAAGUACUCGUGUGUGACCGAUAGCGAACUAGUACCGUGAGGGAAAGGUGAAAAGCACCCCGUCGAGGGGAGUGAAAGAGACCUGAAACCGGACGCCUACAAACAGAGGGAGCUCUUCGGAGUGACCUCGUACCUUUUGUAUAAUGGGUCAGCGAGUUCGUCUGUCUAGCAAGCUUAAGCCAUAGGGCGGAGGCGUAGCGAAAGCGAGUCUGAAUAGGGCGACUGAGUUAGGCGGAUGAGACCCGAAACCGAGUGAUCUAGCCAUGGCCAGGUUGAAGGUGCGGUAACACGCACUGGAGGACCGAACCCACGCCUGUUGAAAAAGUCGGGGAUGAGCUGUGGCUAGGGGUGAAAGGCUAAUCAAACUCGGAGAUAGCUGGUUCUCUGCGAAAGCUAUUUAGGUAGCGCCUCAUGUAUCACCUUCGGGGGUAGAGCACUGGAUGGGCUAGGGGGCUUCACCGCUUACCAAACCUAACCAAACUCCGAAUACCGAAGAGUGCAAUCAUGGGAGACACACGGCGGGUGCUAACGUCCGUCGUGAAGAGGGAAACAACCCUGACCAACAGCUAAGGCCCCUAAUUCGUGGCUAAGUGGGAAAGGAUGUGUCGUUCCCAAAACAACCAGGAUGUUGGCUUAGAAGCAGCCAUCCUUUAAAGAAAGCGUAACAGCUCACUGGUCUAAAUAAGGAACUUCGCGCCGAAGAUGUAACGGGGCUCAAGCCACGAGCCGAAGCUUUGGGUGUGACGCAAGUCACGCGGUAGCAGAGCGUUGUGUAUGCCUGUGAAGAGGAAGGGUGACCGACCUUGGAGGUAUCACAAGUGAGAAUGCUGACAUGAGUAGCGAUAAAGAGGGUGAGAGACCCUCUCGCCGGAAGUCCAAGGGUUCCUGCGUCAAGUUAAUCUGCGCAGGGUUAGCCGGCCCCUAAGGCAAGGCCGAAAGGCGUAGUCGAUGGGAACCAGGUAAACAUUCCUGGGCCUGUGGGUAGUGACGGAUUUCGUAAGUCGUUCGACCUUACUGGAUUGGUUGGGCGGCGAAGAAGUCCCAGGAAAUAGCUCCCACGUUCAGACCGUACCCGAAACCGACACAGGUGGACUGGCAGAGUAUGCUAAGGCGCUUGAGAGAAUGGUGUUGAAGGAACUAGGCAAAUUGCCCUCGUAACUUCGGGAGAAGAGGGCCCGGCUUUUGCGCAAGCAGAGGUCGGGGGCACAAAGCAGGGGGUAGCGACUGUUUACUAAAAACACAGGACGGUGCGAAAACCAAAGUUGACGUAUACCGUCUGACGCCUGCCCGGUGCCGGAAGGUUAAGAGGAGAUGUGAAAGCGUUGAAUCGAAGCCCCGGUAAACGGCGGCCGUAACUAUAACGGUCCUAAGGUAGCGAAAUUCCUUGUCGGGUAAGUUCCGACCUGCACGAAUGGCGUAACGACUUCCCCACUGUCUCCAACACCAGCUCAGCGAAAUUGAACUCCCCGUGAAGAUGCGGGGUUCCCGCGGUCAGACGGAAAGACCCCGUGCACCUUUACUGCAACUUUGCGCUGGCAUUAGGAAUGUGAUGUGUAGGAUAGGUGGUAGGCUUUGAAGCCGAGGCGCCAGCCUUGGUGGAGCCACCCUUGAAAUACCACCCUUUGUAUUCCUGAUGUCUAACCGCGGCCCUGAAACAGGGUCCGAGACCGCGCAUGGUGGGCAGUUUGACUGGGGCGGUCGCCUCCCAAAGAGUAACGGAGGCGCGCGAUGGUAGGCUCAGACCGGUCGGAAAUCGGUUGAUGAGUGCAAUGGCAAAAGCCUGCCUGACUGCAAGAGUGACGGCUCAAGCAGAGACGAAAGUCGGUCAUAGUGAUCCGGUGGUCCCGCGUGGAAGGGCCAUCGCUCAACGGAUAAAAGGUACGCCGGGGAUAACAGGCUGAUCGCCCCCAAGAGUCCAUAUCGACGGGGCGGUUUGGCACCUCGAUGUCGGCUCAUCACAUCCUGGGGCUGGAGCAGGUCCCAAGGGUACGGCUGUUCGCCGUUUAAAGUGGUACGUGAGCUGGGUUUAGAACGUCGUGAGACAGUUCGGUCCCUAUCUGCCGUGGGUGUUCGAAACUUGAGAGGAUCUGUUCCUAGUACGAGAGGACCGGAAUGGACGCACCUCUGGUGGACCGGUUGUGGCGCCAGCCGCAUUGCCGGGUAGCUAAGUGCGGAAUAGAUAACCGCUGAAAGCAUCUAAGCGGGAAACUAACCUCAAAACCAGGUUUCGCUCGAGAGCCGUGGAAGACGACCACGUCGAUAGGCCAGGCGUGUAAGCGCAGCAAUGCGUUGAGCUUACUGGUCCUAAUCGCUCGAUUGAAAUGCUUGA
This 2741-nucleotide ribosomal RNA is filed under the name soil metagenome. RNAcentral's name for it is "bacterial LSU rRNA". It matches the Rfam family "Bacterial large subunit ribosomal RNA". The record is from RNAcentral.